Long non-coding RNA from Eriocheir sinensis (Chinese mitten crab), 747 nucleotides. RefSeq lists it as uncharacterized. The record is from RefSeq and is a predicted model, not a curated record. Lineage: Eukaryota; Metazoa; Arthropoda; Malacostraca; Decapoda; Varunidae. The transcript has 3 exons.
CAAUGUGGUUUUUUUUGAGGGGCCGCGUUCGGGGUGAGGUGAGGUGCAGGAAGGUUGGACAGUAUGGUAAGGCAAGGUUAGUUAAGGGUAGGGUAAGGUUGGGUUAGGUUAGGGAAGGGUAAAGUUAGGUUUGGUUAAGUAAGGUAAAGUUUGGUUAGGUCAGGUAAGGUUUGGUUAGGUAAGGUAACGUAGGGUAAGGUUAGGCUUGGUUAGGUUAGGUUAGGUUAAGGAAGGGUAAGGUAAGGUUAGGUUUGAUUAGGUGAGGUAAGGUUUGGUUAAGUAAGGUAAAGUUUGGUUAGGUCAAGUAAGGUUUGGUUAGGUAAGGUAACGUAGGGUAAGGUUAGGUUAGGUUAGGGAAGGGUAAAGUUAAGUUUGGUUAGGUAAGGUAAAGUAGGGUAAGGCUAGGUUAGGUAAGGUAGGAUAGGUUAGGUUAGGUAGGUAUGGUAAAGUAGGGUAAGGUUAGGUAAGAUAAAGUAGGGUAAGGUUAGGUGAGGUAAGGUUAGGUAGGUUAGGUAAGAUAAAGUAGGGUAAGGUUAGGUGAGGUAAGGUUAGGUAGGUUAGGUAAGGUAAAGUAGGGUAAGGUUAGGUGAGGUAAGGUUAGGUAGGUUAGGUAAGGUAAAGUAGGGUAAGGUUAGGUGAGGUAAGGUUAGGUAGGUUAGGUAAGGUAAAGUAGGGUAAGGUUAGGUGAGGUAAGGUUGCAUCAUCAUCAUCAUCAGCCAUUACUGGUCCACUAGCACAAAGGCCUUU